GACGAACGCUGGCGGCGUGCUUAACACAUGCAAGUCGAACGGAAAGGCCCUGCUUUUGUGGGGUGCUCGAGUGGCGAACGGGUGAGUAACACGUGAGUAACCUGCCCUUGACUUUGGGAUAACUUCAGGAAACUGGGGCUAAUACCGGAUAGGAGCUCCUGCUGCAUGGUGGGGGUUGGAAAGUUUCGGCGGUUGGGGAUGGACUCGCGGGUUAUCAGCUUGUUGGUGGGGUGGUGGCUUACCAAGGCUUUGACGGGUAGCCGGCCUGGGAGGGUGACCGGCCACAUUGGGACUGAGAUACGGCCCAGACUCCUACGGGAGGCAGCAGUGGGGAAUAUUGCACAAUGGGCGGAAGCCUGAUGCAGCAACGCCGCGUGCGGGAUGACGGCCUUCGGGUUGUAAACCGCUUUCGCCUGUGACGAAGCGUGAGUGACGGUAAUGGGUAAAGAAGCACCGGCUAACUACGUG
This 468-nucleotide ribosomal RNA is filed under the name uncultured bacterium. RNAcentral's name for it is "partial 16S ribosomal RNA". It matches the Rfam family "Bacterial small subunit ribosomal RNA", at positions 28 to 507 of the family's 1533-position model. The record is from RNAcentral.